UACCAUUGACCUCGCAUCCCUGUACAUG
This 28-nucleotide small RNA is filed under the name Bombyx mori (domestic silkworm). RNAcentral describes it as "ovarian small RNA-20635". Lineage: Eukaryota; Metazoa; Arthropoda; Insecta; Lepidoptera; Bombycidae. The record is from RNAcentral.